This 29-nucleotide small RNA is filed under the name Bombyx mori (domestic silkworm). RNAcentral describes it as "ovarian small RNA-13880". The record is from RNAcentral. Lineage: Eukaryota; Metazoa; Arthropoda; Insecta; Lepidoptera; Bombycidae.
CCGCUACAGUGUGCUCCGCAGCACAUCUC